Molecule: long non-coding RNA, 2498 nt
Organism: Oxyura jamaicensis (ruddy duck)
Lineage: Eukaryota; Metazoa; Chordata; Aves; Anseriformes; Anatidae
Exons: 3
Source: RefSeq, a predicted model, not a curated record
CUGAGAAGUCCCUGCUCUCUUAAAUGCCUGGGCACUGAUACAAUUAAUGUUUAAUGCAGCAUUCUUGUUUCCUGGUUGCCAUUCUCUGCAAAACAAUGGGGUGUUUUGCCCAUGAAAUUACUGUUCUGAUUAGGAGGAAUAUGUCUGUCAUUAGACUUUCAAAUGCGAUCCUGUUGCAGCACAGCACUGGCAAUCCGGCCCAGAUUACUCUGGCGAUAUUUCUGUUCCUGAAGGAAAUAGCAAGUGCAAAUAGGCUUGGAGAGUUUUUUCCGGAGUUCAGCUGAUAUAAAUUCCCACCGGAGAGUUCGAGGCUGGCAAUCAGCUUACUCAUUCUUCGCUUAUCAUCACAAACCUCUGACCUUCAAACAUCGCUGGUGCGGUGCCCGGCUGAGCAAACUAAAAUAAAACCAGAUGGUGAUUCACUGCGCUCCCGGGUUGCGACGCGCGGCCUCUGCGCGCUCCCUCGCCGCCGGCCACCUCCCCGCAGGUUCCCGACCUUGUCCCACGUGUGGUGCCUGUCCCACGGCAGUGGUGCUGGUCCCUGGGUGGUGUUGGAGCAUGGCACGGGCUCCCACGCAGCCCUGGGCGAGAGGACGAGGAUGCAGCACGGGCAAGGAUGCUGAGCUGGUCGGGAUCCCCAGGUGGCCCCAGGCAUGCCUGCCGUGUCCUGGGACAUCUCUCCCUUUGCUCUCAUUGCAGCUCCCAUGAAGCUGGCGUUUGGGUUUUGAGGAGGCCGAUGCCUUUUCCAGGCAGCAUUUCCUUCUUCCCCCAGCCCGUCGGAUGCUGGUGACAGACUUUCUGCUCACUUUUUCCUAGAAAGAGCUGCCUUUAAGACCUCUCUAGAAGGAAACCCGCACGUGCCAGAGCCACCCCCGCUGCCCGGAGCCCUUGGUGCUCAGCGCAGGGGUGCUGCACCCGCAGGGGGAUGCUUCCCGUGCUGCUGGGGGGCGAAACAGGGGGGCUGCAGGGGGCCGCAGCCACUCCUGCAGGAGGGACGUGGGAGGCAACUGGUGUGCCAGGAGGCGCGGAGGAAUGCGGCAGCACGGGAGGGGGGGAGGGCAGAAAUUAAUAAUUAUCUAAAGCGCACCCCUAUCACUGCUCAUCAAAAUUUGCCCAUACUUCAUUCCAGCCUCCUUUCUUCUUCUUGCCUCCAGUAAGUACUUUAACAUCCUUUUUAAAAAUUAAAGGGGGAGGGUUAUGGAACAGAUAAGAGAUAAUUGCCUAGCUUUGACUCUUCUAUUGAUGUGAAAAUAGGAUUGGAAUUACUCACUCUGGUUGAAAGGUUAGUUGAAGGUUAUUACAGGAAAAUUGUUAUUCAUACAUUUUUUCUGUGCUGCUGGAUAGCCUAAAAGAUUAAAUUCACAGAGUGCAUAAUGACCCAUCACAACGGACAAUGGUGGGAAUAAUCUCCAGAGACUCCAGAUAACAGAACAGAGACUUCUUUGAAUAAUUCAUGGUUCAACAGACAUCCCUCACUAACAGAUUACAUGUGAGUUUUCAUUAGAAAGGAGAUAAUUUAAAGUAGCUUUAAAAAUAACCGGUAUUUUUAACGGAAGUGGAAUUACCAUAAGCAUUUAUGCAGUUUGUUUAUGCUUUAAUAAAUCUGCUUUCCUCCUGACCUUCAUGCCAUGGGAACAAAACGCAAGGGGAUAAAGAAAGUCAUUGUUUGUGACAAUCCCGCGCAGAGCUGAUAGAGCAUCGGUUUCAUAUUCUGCCUCGCCCUUGGCUGCCUUUAGCACACGGGAAGGCCCAGGGGUGAUGCUCUGCUGGCAGUCCCGGCGUGCAGCGCAGCGAGCGGCCGGCAAGAGCAUGCUGGAAGCUGUAGUCCAGGUGCCCCGGCAUCGCCAGCGCCGCGCUGCUCACAGCCCUCCUGCUCCUCCUCCUCCUCCUCCUCCUCCCUCACAAACACCGCCUCUGCUUGCUAAUCCUUCCCAGGCUUCGCAGCCUUCGUCGUGGGUUUAAGGCCAAGUGGCAAAAUACAAACGGAGGGGGAGCAGAGGCGGCGAUUAAGCAGCGAGGAAAGAUGAAGCAAAGACCUGAACGACAACUAACGCGUGUUCAGCGCGGCUUCCUGGCGCGCAAGCGCUCCUCCGGGGGUGUCUCAGCUUGGAAAAUGUUUGUCUUCUCCCAUCAGGUGAAUCCGUGGGCACGGUGUGGAGCAAAUGUUAAUUAAAGUACCACGGAGCUGCUUAGCAGUAGGCCAUCCCAGGCAAUCCCUUCUGCUUGCGUGGCCGCUGCUGACAGAGCUUAUUCAGAGCGUGCGAAGGGAGGACUUUGACCCAAAGCAACGGCUGCAAAGGAAACAGAAGCGAUUUUUGCUGCGAUCAGUGGCAUUUCCCUGGAUUUCUUCUGGCCUUGCCAAAAGCAGAAUGCGUUGCCGAGUCUGCAGGAAACGAAGUUUUCUUCAUUUUGCAGGAGACGCUUGCUUUAAUUGCCGUCUUCCCGCGACCCAGCAGCGGUCACCGCUCACCUCCAGCGGGGCCGGGGCUACGCAGCGA